Molecule: long non-coding RNA, 18812 nt
Filed under: Cicer arietinum (chickpea)
Lineage: Eukaryota; Viridiplantae; Streptophyta; Magnoliopsida; Fabales; Fabaceae
Description: long non-coding RNA (CARI_LNC001558)
Source: RNAcentral
AAAUGGAAAGAUGGCAUAAAAUGAGACAAAAAUUAUUCUGAAGUGAAGCCAAGAAAAAGAAAAAGAAAAAGCAGCAAGUGCGGGUGACAAGAAGGGAGUAGAGAGAAGAAAAUGGCUGUGAUCACUGCCCACACUUACAAACCCUACCUCUCUCACUCUCCUCCCAAUCUUCGCCAUUCCUCUCCCAUUUCCGUUUCUUCUUCUCCAUUUCCGCUCAAAACAACUAUACCAUGCCUCGCCUCUUCCGCUCUCGCCGCCGAAUCACCUCUCACCGGUAAUCUCACCUUCGAUGUCUUCCGAUUACAUUUUCAGAUUUAAAUUUCAUCCAAUUAGGGUUUCUUAAACAUUUCAACUAACAUAUACCUUUUUAUAUUCUCUUAUUUAGUAGAGUAGAAAUCUUGAUUUAAAUAUCUGUUUUGAGUUUUGAAGUGGAUAUUUAGUGAGUGAUUUUUAUUUAUUUUUUGUUUACUCAAACAGCAAAAGUUGGAAAUGCGAAGAAAGAUUUUCUUCACAUAGAUGAUUUUGAUAAGGAAACUAUUUUGAAGAUAUUGGAUCGAGCUAUUGAGGUGAAGGCAUUGCUAUUGGUGGAGUGGCAACAUUUAACUCCGCAACCAUGUUCUCGUGUAUAAUGGACAUAUGAAAUGAAAUGACAUCAAUGUACAAGUUCAAUUUGGGUAAAAAUUAUAGGACAUUUUGUAAUUUAUGUUCUAGUCGGAAGAUCAAACAAAAAUGUACCAAAAAAGAAAGACAAAAAGUAGUACUUAAUGUGUAGUACAUGGGGAAAAAAUUAUGUGGCCCUUAGAUGCAAGUCUGAAUGGAUUAAUUUUAUUUUAUGCUCUUUUUCCUCAUUUCCUCUUUUAUAUGUAAAUGUUUCCUAUGCUUUAACUAUGAUUUCACAUUCAACGUUUAGUUAUUUUAAUUUGUCUUACCAUGCAAGUGUACUUAAUUACUUAAAACAGUAAUUACCUUAACAUUUCAUCUCUAAUAAAAAUUACAAUUUACAAACAAAGAACCAUUGCAUAGGGGGAGGCCACAAAUAAUGGAUCAGCAUGAUCUUAUCUUUUAAUUGAUUCUGUAAUUUAAUUAAAUAUAUAUCUUUUAGAACUAGUUUAGAUUAGGAGCCUUAUCCCUUAUUAAUCCGCUGUACUAGUACAGCAACUAAAUUAGGAUCGAUCUUAUCUCUUAUUAAUUGGUUGUUUGUAAAUUGUAUAGCUCCUAAAAUUCAUGUAAACAAAGAUUAUAGCUUCUAAAUAAUGUACCCCGCAACUAUAAUGAAAAACAUUGGAAAACCAAUAGCGUUUCUCUCUAUAAUUAGUGAAGAUUUUAUAUAUAAUUAGCUCCUAAAAAUUCGGUAUGAAAAAGAGGGGGUGGGGGUUGAUAUAAUUUGUUUGACAACUAACAAUGAUACACAUACACUCACAAUUUCUAUGCACCAAUAUUUCAACAUCCCAUUUUCUUUUUUUUUCGUAUAGACUUAAUUGCAGUUUUGGUCCCCCUAUUUUAACUGAAUCGCGAAAGUAGUUCCCCAUUUUGUUUCUCCCCAAUUUUGAUCCCCAAACAUAAUUUUAGUCCAAAACUUGAUAAAAUUUCAUUUUUUAAAGCUGUACUACACCAUUUAUGAUCAUAGAUUUCAGGUACAAUUGUUGCAAAUGGGAUCUUGAGUCAUGGUGUGACUUAAAUAAAUACAAAAAAAAAUGUAACUUUUUCAAAUUUUUGACCAAAAUUAUGUUUGAGGAACCAAAACUGAAGAUAAAUAAAAUGGGAGGAACUACUUUCGCGAUUCAGCUAAAAUAGAGAAAUCAAAACUGUAAUUAAACCUUUUAUAUAUCAAUUAAUAUCACAUUGCCCACAUAUCAUAUCACUCUUUUUAUUUCUUUAAAACACGUGUAUACAACCUAUAGUGUUAUACAAAAUAUUUUCUUUUGAAUAAGUGUAUGAAGUGAUAGUUCCUCUUCUUACUUUAAUCAAUCCUAGAAAUAAAUAUCAUAACUUAACAUCAUGUAUUUCCUAAUUCACCAUGUUCUCAAAUUUAAACAUUAAAUUAUACUCAGGCCAGAAAAACUUUCUAGUUAUGAAUCCAGAAUAGAACUGAUGGACGAUGCUUGGUUACAAUUUCAAAUCCGUUAUUAUAUGUUUGCUCUGGUUUUUGUUGUUUUUGAUGUUGAAACGGUCUUUCUUUACCCAUGGGCAAUGCUUCGUUCCUAUUUAUAGCCCAAAGUGAGUCGACAAAAGUUGAUGUAUUUGAUCAAAAAAUUGGACUAACAAGAAAACAUAGAUUUUUUGAGGGCCAAAAGCCAUCACAAAGGGAAAAAAAACAGCCACAAAGUAGACAUUUGUGGCGGCCUUAGGCAGCCACAAAUAAGGUGGUCACAAACCUUUGUGGCGGCCAAAACGGCCACAAAGUGUAAAAAUUUCAUUGUCUUUUGUGAGGACAAAGGUCGUCACAAACGCCUGAUUUUGUGAGGGCAUAGGCCGCCACAAAUGGCUCACUUUGUGAGGGCUUAGGCCGCCACAAAGGAUAGACUGAUUUUAAAAAGUUAAACUUUUGUGGGGACCCAGGCCGCCACAAAUGCUUCCCUUUGUGAGGGUUUAGGCCGCCACAAAGGAUGUUCCAGAUUAAAAAAUAAAUAUUUUGUGAAGGCUUAGGCCGCCAUAAAAUAUUAACUUUAUUAAAAAAUUAUUUUAUUAAAUUCGAAUUAAUAAUAAAUAAUAAUAUUAUAUAUAAUAAAUUAAUAUGAAUAUAAAUUCAAAAUUUAAAUUAAAAUUACAAUAUUAUAAUUUAAUUAAAAUUUAAAUUAAAUUAAAAAUAUAAUAUUUAAAUUUAAAUUUAAUAUGUUAUAUAUAAUAACCUAAUAUCAAUAUAAAUUAAAAAAUUUAAUUAAAAAUAUAAUAUUACAAUUUAAUUAUCAUUUAAAUUAAAUUUAAAAUAUAAUAUUUAAAUUAUAAUUAUAAUUAAAGAUUAAUUUAAAUUAAAUUUAAAUUUUAAAAAAAAAGUUAAAUAAAAAUUAAAUUUAAAAAUUAAAAUAACUAUUAUAUAUAAAAAUAUAUUAUUAAUAAUAAUUAAAAUAAUUACUACCAAACCAAAUAAAAUAUUCCAAAAUUAAUAAAUAAUGUCUUACAAACCAAAAAUUAAACACACAAUAAUUAACUAGCAUCGUAAUAACUUUGCGGCGAACCGUCUCUAACAGGUGUUGCGUCUAGCAUUAUUUUAGUCAUCAAAUCCAAAGCUAAAUCAGGAACAUGAAAUUGAGACUUUAGACCUAAUAGUCUAAUACACAUUGAUAACUUUGAGUUUGGAGACCCUUCAAACAACGGUUUAUUUGUCUCUUUCAAAAGACCAUAAAAUCUAUAAGCUUCUUUAUUCGGAAGUCAAUCGGUAUCGUCAUAUUGAUCUUCAUUGAAUGACAAAUUAACCCCAACAACAUUCGAAAUCAUAUCAUUCAUCACCUCAAAGUGUUGAUAGUUAUAAUAAUAUAUACCUAACAUGUUAGUACUACUUGAAGGACCCAUGUUAUUCUCCACACAUAUACUAGUAUUAGGCGCCGCCGGAGACUUUUCCCCAUGAUAAGUCUAAAUCCAGUAGAUAGGCAUAAAUUCAUAUGCAUAUAAAUGCACUCUUAUUUCAUUUUCACUUUUAAACCGUCUACAUCGACAUAAACAACAUAGACAUCUCAUUCACCCUUCAUCUUCGACAAUUUUCUGCACUCUCGCAAAAUUGAGAAAGUCUUCAACAUUGUUAGCAAAACGUUGUUUAAACCCUUCCUUCCACGAAAAUUCCUAUCGUACAUCCAACUACGUCUAUAUCCAUAUAUAUGUGUGUGUGUGUGUAUAUAUAUAUAUUGUAAAAAUUAAAUAAAUAUAUAAAUUAUGUGCAUAUAUAUAUCGAUGUUUUAUAUAUUAAUUGCUUUAUUUUUCAAAAGCAUUAUAUAUAAAUUUUGACAUACUUUAUAUGUCAAUUAGGGGAGCAUUUGCAAAUAAAAUUUUAAAUAAUGUUUAAUGAAAUUUUACAUAAAAUAAUUAACUUCUUAUAUAUAAACAAAAAUAGAGACUGUUAAAGUAUAAAUUUUUUGUACUAAAUCAACUACAACUCUUUUUAAUAACUAACAAAAAAUAUUAAUAUCAUCAAUUUUAAUAAUAUUUUUUUAAAAAAAUAGUUAUAUUAAAAUCAAUAAAUUUUACAUGUGUUUCAAACUUUUAUUUAUCAUAUAUUAUGUAAACAACAUAAUUUCUAUUUUUUUAUAAAUAAAUAUACAAUAACACAUAUUUUACUAAUCUAUAUUUUAAAAAUAAUAUAAGUAUAUUUAUAAUAUCACAUAUAUAUUUACUAAUCUAAAUUUAAAAUGUAUAAAAUACUAACUUGAUGUCGGGUAGUGUCUGACAUGAAGCUUUCACAGAGCUUAGAACUCUUCGAAGUAAUUAACACAAUAUGACCACUGUCAAAAUAAAAAUUCAACAAUAUUAAUUACAUAAAUAACUUCAAAUAAAAAAUAAAAAUAAAAAACUAAAUAUAUAAUAUAAUAUAAACUUAUCAAAAUUCAAGCAAGCUUGGAGGAAUAAUUUUUGUAGAGAGAAGGUGGAGAAAAAAUUUAGAAAGAAGGUUUAGAGAGAAGAUUGAAGUGAAAAAUGAUAAGAUGAGUGAAGUGAUAUUUAUAGAAUAUGGUUGAUACUUUGUGGCGGCCUGGGCGGCGACAAAUGACAACGUCACUUUGGGAUUUUGUGGCGGCCUUUGCAGCCACAAAAGGCAACGGAUCAGGCGUUUGUGGCGGCCUGAGCGGCCACAAAUGGCUUGCCUUUGUGGUGGCCUUUACCCUCACAAAGGGUUGAUUUUGUGGCUGCAAAAGCCCUCACAAAAAUCUUAAAAAUUUAGGUGGAUUUUGUGGCUGCCUAAGCCCUCACAAAAUCACAACGUUGUGAUUUUGUGAGGGCUUAUGCAGCCACAAAAUCCACUUAAAAUUUUAAGCUUUUGUGAGGGCUUUUUCAGCCACAAAUAAAGACCAAUUUUAACUUUUGUAUUUGUGAGGGCUUUUUUCGGCCACAAAAUAUUUGUAAACUUGGCCACAAAUGAGGGGAUUUCUUGUAUACAUCAACUUUUGUUGACUCGCUUUUGAUUAUAAAUAGGAACGGAAGGAGUACAACAUAAAAACAGCCACACAAUAUAGAUAUUGAAAUGUAUAAAGACUUUCAAUUUCGUUAAGCUAGGUUUACUGCACAAAACUCUAAACCAAAUUAAAAAUUAAAUUUCAUAUAGUACCUUUAAUUUUGCAGAUUCGUCGAUAAGAUCAAAGGUGCUCAAGUCCCUUAAUAACACGGAGGAGGAAGGCAUAAGUGUCCUGAUUUUCACAUGAGCACAAACAUAAAAACUGUAACUGGUGACUAUGGAAGGAAAAAUACACAGACAAGAACAAAUACUGUUUUACUCUUUUACCAUAAUACACCACACACCUUUUAGGCCUAGAAGGUUUGCAGGAGUUAUUGACUUCUAAAUCACUCGGGAUUUUAGUAGAUGAAACAUCUUUGGCCGAUGAAGCAUCCAAAAUGUCACUUCCUAUUGAUAACGAUGAAACUAACAAUUCCUGAAAGAUGAUUUAACAAGUAUUUAAUUUGUAUAGCUCUAUGCAGAUAGAUAGAAGGACCUCAUGAACUUGGUUUUAAUUCAUGUUAUUAUAAAUAUAAAAAGGUUCAUGGACCUUCAUUGGACAACUUGAGCUUUUAGAAACGAUGGCUAUCAACAUCCAAUAAGUGCAUUAAUCUCAAUGGAUUAACAUUUAGGUCAUUUUUGUCAUCACUUGGCUUAUUCUAAUCCAUUUUUCGUUCUUAGCCAAUGUUCAUCCUAUAGGUGUGUUUGUGUCAUCGGGUUAACAUUUAGUCAUUUUCAGCAUCCCUCGACUUAUUCUAAUCCAUUUUGGUUAAGAAGCCUUUAUGAACAACUAACUAUAAACCUAUAAACACUCAUUUGGAUUCCAGACAGUGAACUAUUACAAUAUCAGAGGGAGCCUUUUUAGAUCUAGGAGGUUAGUUGAUAAAUUCAAGUAUCUUAUAACUAGACAAUAUUUAUUACCUUUGCAAUCUCUGAAUUAACCAUUAGGACGUAGUAUUUUGAACUUUGUGAUAUAUCAAGAACUCCAGACCAAGAGAUGUUAAAUGAAGACAAAUGGAACAUUCGGGAAGUGGGAUAUUCAGGUGCAAAUUGGGUUAAAACUCCUAUUGAUAUGUGAUCUACUUCAUGAUAUUGUGUCUUAAUUGGAGUUAACAUUGUAUUUAAGAAAAAUAAGAAGUAAAAUUCAAUAAGUGCAUUAAUCUCAAUGGAUUAACCUUGAAUCUCCUAGUGUUGAGGCUCAGUAACAAGCUAUGACAAUGUUUAUUUGUGAGACGAUAUGGGAGAAACAGUUGCUUUGCGAGUUGAACUUAGAAAGUAUCAUCAAUUUAGGGAGAGUAUUUUGUAUCAAAUCAUAGCAUCUUAACUUCUCAUAAAACAUCUAAUUAGUGAGAGUAUUUUGUAUUAUAUUAGUUCGGAUUUGUGUACGUCUCCCAAAAAAUUCAAUAUAGUCAUUUUCCCAUUUCAGAAAUAAGUUGAAGUUCAGCAAAAGGUAAAGAUGAACUAGAGUUUUUCCAAUGCUUCAAAUUUUAGGAUAAUUGGACCUUUAUCAUACAUAAAUGCAUUAUCUCUUAAUACUAAGUUUCUCUAAAUAAAUAUCUAGAUAUUAAUUAAAAAGAUGCAAGAAACAACUUGUAUACACAUUAACAACUGGAAAGUCUACUCACACUUGGCAUAUUGCGAACAUCAUCAACUUCCAAAGCCUAAUGAUCCUCAUGUUUCGAAGAGGAGGCCGAAACACCCCUACUAUAUUUACACAAAGCAGAAAUUAAGGAACACAACAAUAUUAAUGCAAAAUCAAGAAAAACAAAGCAGAAAUCACACUAAAAAAAGUAUUACUCACGAGACUAUAUUAUCUGAUUUUUCAGAAUUUAACUGUGUACAAGAAGGACCAGGCAUAGGUGCUUCAUUCGAAAGGUCAAAUCUAGGCUCAGAUGAUGACUCUGCAUGACAUGCUUCCUGGAAAGAACGGACGACCAAAUAUAUACAUGCAUAAAUUUUGACUAAUGAAAUACAGACACAAAUCACAAUCAUGCUGGCUUUAGAUGUUAGAAUGAAGUAGUACGUCAUAGCUGAUUGAUUCAUAUCAACAUUGAGAUAUGGAAAUUCAACUCACAUUAGGUAUCAUAUUCACAACAUCAACCUCCAAAGCAUUAUGAUGCUCAGGCUUUGAUGAAAAGACUGAAACUUCCCUUCAUAAGAAUUAGUUCGGUUCAAAAGGCAUAAUUCAAUUUUUUUGUGAAGGUAGUUUUGGUUCGGUUUGGAAAAUACAGAACCGGUGUGCCGAACCUUUAUAUCCAUUUAGUUUGGUUUGUGACGAACCAUUGACAGUUAUGUUCAGUUUUACUGAAAUGGUGCAGUGGUUUAGUAUGGUUUUUUCCUGAACCGAACCAUGAACUGUUGUAGUUACCAAAUUGCUACUGAAUGUGGUUUUUUAUAUUUUUUUUUGCAACUUGCACAUCAUAUUGACUAUAGAGUAGACAUAGUCAAAUAAAUUUCUGUCUUUUAGUUAUAUUUCAAAGCUUUUGAUUUCAUGUAUGUACUUCCUAUAAUUAAUCUUCUUUUUGAUGCAGGUAUUGUUAUCUAGGUUAAGCUUCUUCAAGGAAAAGGAACUUUUAAGUUCAUAUGGAUCUGGCCUCCAGAAAUACAGGAAAUCUGCUGAGGCUGUUAUCUGUGGCCUUCUUCCAGAUUCUCCAACAGCCACAAAAAGCAGAACAAAUGGUAGUGUUCUCCCUGAAAACUAUCUGACGGCAUACUCACCUAUAAUCUUCAUUUACUUGUCUCCUUGCCCCAUUCCAUUUUUCACAUAUCAUUAAUCAAAUCAUAGGUGGAUAUCAUCAAACUAUUAAUUUAACAUCUGACUAGUUUUAUUGCCUGUGACAAUCAAUGCUCCUGGAUAGACACAAACUACUGAAAUUCCAUUUUUAGUAAUAUAUUUCUAUUGCUAUAUGUUCUCUAAUUAGAUUUUUGAUUUUAUUUUUCUUCAAUACAGAUGGUCUGAUAUGGGUGAGCGAGUGGAACUCUUUGCAGCAUCCUGUUGCAUCUGCAUUCUUAGCUGCUGUUUACAGUGACUAUAUGCUUACGUUGCAGACUCCCAAAAUAUAUUUGUAUCUUUUUAAUUCAUAUAUAUUUUGUCAUUCCAAAAAAUUAUAAUUUUUUAGAAAAUGAUAGUAACAUAGGUAUUUUUUUUAUAUUUAAUGAAAUAUAAUUUAUAUAUAAUAUAUUUUGUACAUAUAAGUUUUUUUUUCCUUUCUAAAUCGUAUGUCAUAAAAUUUUAUUUUUCAUCACUCUAUAUAUAUAUAUAACCAAAUUGUAAUUUAAAAUUGUGUUAAAUCUUUAAAAUAACAAACAAAUCCUAAACACAUUCUAAUUAAAAAUAUAAAUUAGAAAUCCUAAUAAUAUAUUAUUCUAAAUCUUAAAUAUAUUUAAUCUAAAUAUAAAUAAAAUUUUCUAAAGCAAAUCUCCACCAGUCGUACUCACUAUUUUUAGGGCGUAGAUUGUUGCAUACUUGCAUAUGACACAAAGGGUACAUUUCACACUAUAAAGGUUGGGUUUCUGAUCCAUAUAUCCUAUUUUGAAUUUUUUAUCUCAAAAUGCCCUAGUUUGAAAAAAAAUAUACAGAAAUGUCAUACUUUUUUGUCUCAAUUGUUUAUCGCAAUUUGGGGAUGCGAUCUCCUGAAGGAGAUUUUUUCUCAUUUUAACAGAUGGUUGUAUCCUGGGGAUGCGACCUUGUAGUGACAAUUUUUUUUUGUCAUUUAAAGGAUAUUUGUAUUUAUUAUUAAUUAUUUUUAUUAUUUGAAUAAUUUAAAAAGAGGAGGAAUUUGUUAUAAUAAUGUGUCAAAAAAGAGGAGGAAGUUGUUAUACUAAUUUGCCAAAUCGGGAGGAAGUUGUUAUAAUAAUUUGAUAAAACAAACAAAUAGGUGUACGUGUGUUACUGAUAUUUUGCCAUAAAAUAACAAUAUAUUUUCUUAACAACUUCCUUUAAUAGUAUUUUGAUUUUUUGACAAAUUAUUAUAACAACUUUCUCCUUUUUGGCAGGUUAUUAUAACAAAUUUCUCCUAAUUUUCUUAUCUAAUAAAUAAAAAUUAAUGAAAAUAAUAAUAAUAAUAAAAUAUAAAUUUGAUGGAUUUUUUCCUUCAAUUUUCUGUACUUUUUUUUUAAGUUAAUGUAUUUUAUUGGUUCAAUUUAACUAAUUUUAUUUUACUAAUAUAAUCUACUUUAUUAUUAUUAUUACUAUUAUUAUUUUUAUUAAAAUUUAGAAUAUUAUAAAAUUAUUAGUAUUAUUUAUUAAUGUAUUUUAUUAUUAUUAUUGUUAUUAUUAUAAUAAUAAUAAUAAUAAUAAUAAUAAUAAUAAUAAUUUAUAAUAUUAUUAAAUUUAUUAUUAUUAUUUUUUAUAAUAGUAUUUUGAUUUUUUAAUUAUUCAAAUAAUAAAAAUAAUUAAUAAUAAAUACAAAUAUCCUUUAAAUGGCAAAAAAAAAAAAAAAUUGUCACAAGGUCGUAUCGCAGGAUGCGACCAUCUGUUAAAAUGAGAAAAAAUCUUUUUCAGGAGGUCGCAUCCCCAAAUUGCGAUAAGCAAUUGGGGCAAAAAAUAGGACAUUUCUGUAUAGUUUUUUCAAACUAGAGCAUUUUGGGAUAAAAAAUUCAAAAAAGGGAUAAAUGGAUCAAAAACCCAUAAAUAUUAUCCAAGUUAGCAAAAUGAGAAUAAAAAUAAUAUACUUUAUACACUUUCAAUUUUUUUAUUUAACGGAUUUACAAUUUUUUUAUUUUUUUAUUUUAAAAAAAAAUGCAGACCUCUGUUUCUUAAUUUUUGUCAUUAUUUUCACGAUAAAUUUAGAAUUCCUUAGAUGGAAGUGUCAAAUUGAAUAAUAAAAUGACAAAUCAUUAAGAGACGUCACAACUCAUACAUAUUAGUUAAGUUAAAUUAAACUAUUAUUUUAUUAUUUUAUUAAUGUAAUAAACUUACAAUGAACGGUCAAAAAUUAGUUUAAUCGAGUUAAGAAAAUGAAGAAUACUAAAAAAAUAUUGAUAUUUCUUUUUAAAAUAAAAUGAUAUUUAAUUUGAAGGAAAAGUUUUAAACACUUUUAAUUUUGUACGAAGUUUUCUAUUUUAAUUGUCAACUUUGUGCAAAAAAAGAAUGUCAACCAAUUUAAUUGACUCAAUUAGAAGAAUUAAAUUCGUUCAUAACAUUAGUGGUUGACCAAAAUCACAAUUUAUAUAGGUAGUGAGAUUAAAAGUGUAAAUAAAAACAAUAAAAUAAACAAAUUGAAUGGAAACUGACUUGCAUAAUAUUGUAAUGUUCUACAGCAACUCAGCACAUAAUCCACCUAUUCCUUUUUUUUUUUUUAUGAUCUAGUUUUUCUUAGUCUGCCCCGUGUAAUCCUAAUGCUAUCUUCCAUUAUUGUUUCGUUCGAAGAAGGGUUUUCAUUUUCAUUUGCAGAAGAGGAUGUAGGGAGUGCUGCUUCAAUCUCCAUUGGCUCUGCGGCCUCUGCAGGUGCGGUUCGGUUACCAGUGUAGAAGAAUUCUUCUUCUGACUAAUUAAACUUGAUAAAGAGGAGAGUGUUUUUGGUACUUGAGAAGUACCCAACUCCUCUGCUACUUCCUUCUAACUUGAAGAUGGAAGAAGUGGGAGAAGUCGGAGCCUCAGCUUGUGGUGUUGUUUCAUCAUUUUAUGUAUAGAGUUAAAUUUAUAAUUUAUAAUUUAUAAUUUAAAAUUAUGUCAAAUCCUUAAAAUAAGAAAUAAAUCCUAAACAUAUUCUAAAUAGAGAUAUAAAUUAGAAAUUUUAAUAAUAUCUUAUUUUAAUUCUUAAAUAUAUUUAAUCUAAAUCUAUAUAUAAAUAAAUUUUUUUAAAGAUAUUUAAAUAUAUUAUUUUCAAUAAAAUAAUUAAGAUAAAAAAAACCAUAAGUAAGAAAAGAAAAAAAUAUGUAAAAGUUGACACUUGCCUGAAAUUAGUAUGGAUUUUAAUUGCACGAAAGACAACAUAUACUUGAAAAUAUAUACGACAUAGAAAACAAAAUAGGGCCGAAAUCAUGUCUUUCAAUCACCAUAAAAUCCCACUCUCAUAUAUCUAUAAUCUAAAAAAAAAGUUAGGGCACGUAGGAAAUUAUAUAUAUCCUUGCCCUCAUCAAUCGAACAUAAGAUUACAACUCCUUGGACACACAGCUAAUUUCUUUAAUAUUUGGUACUUUGUCUUUAAAUCUAUGCAAGAGGCAGUAUGAAUUGUCAUGGUACGUAGUACUUUUGAAUUUAGCAUAACGUAUUCGACAAAUUGAAGCUGACACUCUCUACCUCUACAAUUUGUAAACAAGCAAGUUUUAAGCUGACUUGAAAGACAUUCUGGAACUACUUGUGGGUCCUCCCAAUUUUCCUCAUCAAAUUCAUUUUCUAUCUCUUUCUCCUCCUGCAAACAUUCAAGUAAAUUUCCACCCAAACAAAAAGCAAAGUUAGGAUAUGUAGAGGUAGAGUUAACAAAAUAAAUCAUAAAAUCAAAUUAUCUAUAGAACCUCAUGAAUGAUGAGACGUUGAAGCUUGGGACUUUGUCGAAGCACUUCUAGCAUCCACCUCCACUUGUGAGGCCAGUCACGAUAAAUUUUAUAAUUAAUAAAGAUAAAAAAGUUAAAGAAUAGCUCCAUUUGAGUUAGAUUGUGAAAAGUGGGGACUUGGAAAGAGGAGGGCGAUUUCUGCAUGAAUUACAACCGCAAAUCAGACUAUUUUAUUUUUUUUUAUAAUGCAAAUCUAACAUAUUUCAGCACAUACAAAUAAAUAGAAAAAUAAAUUUAUUAUAAUUGAAGAAAAUAAUUAUGUAUAUUUUUGUGUGUGUACCUAAAUAAUUUAGAUUUGAUUUAGUGACCAUACAAGAUUUACUUUAAAAACCAAUUAGAAACUUAAUUCAGAAAUAACUUAUUUUUAUUAUGUCAAUCAAUUAAAUAAAUACUAUAGAUUAACUUCAACCAGAAUUAUUUAUUUUUAGUAAAUCAUAAUUAUUUAUAAAAUCUUACAUAUAAAAUUUAAAGAGACAAAACAUAAAAAUAAAAAAUCAUACCAGUUUUAGGGUUAGGACAUGUGCUCUAGAAAUCAAGAAGAAAGGGAUAGCUGUAGUACUAGUCGCUCUCACCAGAUUAGGCAAACAUUUAAUGAUUUCUAUUUCAUAACUGGAAUCUUUUCUUACAAGUAUACGAUUUGUUUGCAAUUCCUCUAGAGCUGGACAACCUAAGAGAAAAUCGAUAAUAUAUUUAGGAUGUCUGAAACGCACACUAUCCAAAUGGAGAGAUUUGAGUAGUGGAAUAUUUAUACGAGGAAGGUCUCGCACAAUUAUUUGUUUCAACUCAAGAACCGUAAGAGUCUUACAAGUGAAAAUGUUAGAAGCUAAUGUGAUAUGUAAAGAUUCAUACUCCAUGUCAAGAGCUAGGGUUUCAACUCUUCUUUGUAUUGCUGCAUUAAUAAAUUCAUCCAUUUGAUUGUUAGCAUUGCGUGCAACAAAACGUUGGAGGCGGAAUGAUCGAAUUGGUAGGGAGAUGUCACGUGAUACGGUGAUUGAGUAUAAAACACGACGAAAGACGGUGAUCUCUGAGAAUGGUUGGGGGAAGAAAUCCAGAUCGAGGACUGAGAGCCAUAAUGGUUUCCAUCUCUUUGAGAGGAUGCUUGUGGUGGCAGAGUGUUUCGUUGGGAGAAAAGAGAGAAUGUGACAAAUAAUUGAGUCUGGAAGGGCACUAAGCAUGUCUUCUCUUCCAAUCAACGACAUCGCAAUUGCAUCAAACGAUUUACUAUACCUGCCACCUUCAAUCGCACUAUGCUUUUGCUUUUAUAUACACAAACCCAAUAUAUCUACUAAUUCUAAAACAAAUCUCCACUAGUCGUACUCACUAUUUUUUAGGGCCAUAUAAAAUCUCGACAAAUUCCUUUUUCUUUUUUUUCAAAAUCUUAAUAACUAUUUUCAGGGAAUAUAAAAACUGAAAUAAUGUACCCUAAAAAUUCUAUUGGAAAAUGGCAUAUAGUACACGUGGCAAGCUACUUAAUUUAAUGAUUUCUCACAAUAUGUUAACAAACAAAAAAUCAAUUUAGCCAAAGUCAUAAUUAGGAAAAUCAAUUUGCAUAUUAUGACUAAUUCUUUUCCAUAAAUGUCGUACAAAUACUAAAUGUCAAAUUUUUUAAUAACAAUAAUUAAAUUAAUUCUUAAAUUGAUUCCAUUUAAUAUCUAUCAUUUCCAAUAAUUUUUAUUAAUCACUUUUUAACUAUUUUUACGGAAUAAGCAACUUAUUGCAAUCAAGGCUCCAAAAGCUAGUUUCAUUGAGGUCCCUCAUCCUGACGAGGUGUUGACUUAACUGAUAUGUAUGUUAAACUAUGUUUUUGGUAUAACACGUUUCUAAUUGACUUCUCACUCAACUGCUCUGUACUUCUUGAAGUACUUCUCUUCUGUAACAUUGCCACCCUAAAUUUGCUUAUAUUCUUUAUUACAAUGUUCUUGCUGCCCUUGCUUGUUAAUAAUAUUAUAUUUCAUUGUUAGUUUGAAGUCCUUAUUUCAGGAGUCUUAAAUUGAUAUUUUAUAUCCUCGAAGCAAGCACGAUCAAAGUGUCAAAUUGAAUGAUGAAAUGAUAAGUCACUAAAAGACGUUAGAGACUCACAACACAUAUGUAUUAGAUAAGUUAAAUUAAACUAUUGUUUUAUUCAUGUAAUAAAUUUACAAUGAAUGGUCAAAAAUCACUUUAAUCGAGUUAAGAAAAUGUAGAAUACAAAAAAAUAUUGGUAUUUCUUUUUAAAAUAAGAUGAGAUUAUUUUAAGGAAAAGUUUUAAACACUUUUAAUUUUGUAUGAAGUUUCUAUUAUAUAUAUUUAAAAGAGACUCUCGAUGUUGCCUCAUCAUAUAAAGUUUCUAUUGUAUGAUGUGUGUAUGUUGAGAGUAUCUUUCAAGAACUUCUUUAAUAUAUUUAAUCUCUAUUUCUACUUCUCCUUUUCAUUGUACCAUUUCUUUAAUACCUCUAAAAUCUAUUAAAUAAUAUUAUUUUAUAAUAAAUUUAUCAAUUAUAAAAUUAUUUUAUAAUAAUUUAUAAAUUAUUUUAAAAUUUAAUAAUAAUUUAUAAUUUAUAUUAUUAUCAAAUUAUUUUAUAAGUUAUUUUAUAAUAAAUUUAUAAAUUAAUUUAUAAUAUUAUUAGUCAUUUAUCAAUGGUAAUAAUUUAUAUUAUUAAUCAUUAAAUUCGAUAAAAAAAAACCACAUAAUCACUCAUAAAUAUCGUAAAAAUUCAAUUACUCAUUAAUGUCAAUCUAUUUAUAAUUACUUUCAAUUUAUGUCAAUCUAUUUUUUUAAGUAACAUUUUAUAAAAUAAAAAUAUAUAUUUUAUUUGACAAAAAAUACACAAAUUUAUUAAAAAUAAUCAUAAAAUACGAAUAUAUGAAAAAUUAUUAAAAAAUUUACUUUCAAUUAUUAAAAUACAAAAAUUUAUUUAAAAUUUAAUAUAUAUAAAUAUAUUAAAAAAAUAUAAUAAACAAAAGUUUACUAUAUAUGUAUUCUAAAUAAAUAUGAAUCCCUUCACUGCAAGAUUAGUAAAGAAAUCAUCUUCAGAAUUUAUGGACCGACUCUGACUCCUUGCCCAUUCCACAUAUUGUUUCUUUCCUCCAAAAUUCUCAUAAUUCAAAACAAUCAGGAAGCUCAUAAUUCAAGCUCAAAACCACUUUAAUCCCAUAUCUUCUUGCUUCAGCUAUUACAAAGUCCAAUCCCUUAAAUUUUAUUUUUAAUAUCCAACAAAGACAGAGCAAAUAAUCAGGAAUGAACAACUAGUAUACGAGCACAAGUAUAAUAAUUAUUUUUGUACAAAAAAUAAAGAAUGGAAAAAUUAUAGUAAUUAAUUAAAGUGACACUAAUAAGUAUUUUUCUGUAACAAUUAUUGUAAAUAAAUUUGAAUUUUGUUCAUUGAAAUUACAAUGUCAAAUUAUUAUUAUUAUUAUUAUUAUUAUUAUUAUUAUUAUUAUUAUUAUUAUUAUUAGUAUUAUUAUUAUUAUUAUUAUUAUUAUUAUUAUUAUUAUUAUUAGUAUUAUUAUUAUUAUUGUUAUUUUGGUCUAGUGUUAAAAAAUACCCUAAUGUUAAAAAGUUGGCAUUGGAAUUUCAAGCGACGUAAUUUAAAUAUCAUAUGAGACAAUUGUAAAAUAGUAAUUAAUAUCACUAUUAUUAAUAAUAAUUUUUCUUUCCUCAAUUAAAAAAAAUACUAUAAUUAUAAAAUAAAUUAAAGAUUUAAAAAAUGGAGGUGAAAAUUGAAGAGUAAAUGAAUUAACCUGGAACAUAUCCUCAUUGUAGGAUCCAGGAGAGUAUUGUAGUGGUUUAUAACCACCAUCACUAAAAGCCCAAGUAAUUGCUAUGUUAAGUCCAUGAUUUGAAGCCUCUUGAAACGUUGAUGAAACCUUGUUUCUUUGAGAUGGAUCAGAAGCAACAUACAUUAACCAAUAUGCAUUAAAACCAUUUGCAUAAUAGGGGCUUCCGUUUAGCAUAAGCUGCACUCCUCUUGUUUCCACAAACUCACUAUCUGCUUCUACGUGGAAUAGUGAUGAGAAUGCAUAGAAAACUAGAAUUAGAAAGAACUUAGGCUUCAUUAUUAUUUUGUUCUUUUACUUCACUCUUCCGUAUAUUAUAGUUUCAAUAUUUAUGAUGGAAAUUGGAGAAAAUACAAUGGGGGCUUGCCGGCCUAGCCUGGGGGUGGUGUAUAUAGCAACUAGGAACCAACCGCAAAGCCUCACGAUCACGAGUGACUAUUGGUACGUACAUGCGGGGCCACCAUAUGCUUUAUUUAUUAAGGUCACAUGAUAUCAUAUGAGUAUGCACUAUGGAAAAAGAAAAGUUUUCAAAAAACAUCCUAACACUUCAAUAAUACUAUGAGAUAAAAAAAAAAAUUAAAGAGUGAUUUAAUAGAUGAUAUAUAAUGGUGAUGUGAUAAAAGAGAUUAAAAAAAAUAAAUAAGUGUAUGAUAAUAAUAGGUGUAUGUAUGUAUCAUUGGUGAUGGAAAAAAUGUGUGGCAAUAAAAAUCAUAUGCCCCUAAUACCAUACUAAAGUUGGGAAUUUGUCUUUAAUUAUUUUUUUAAGUUAGGACAUCCUCGCAUUUGUGUGUAUUAUUUUUUUAUAUCGGUUUUCUUUAUAAAUCAAAUUGUCUUUAUUUAACUCUUAAUAAUUCAUUCUCUCUUAUUUAAAUAAUUUAUUUUAUUUAUCAAUAUUUAUUUAAAUACAUUAAAGUCAUCAAAUAGUAAAGUUAGAGAAUUUGUUUCAUAAAAAAUAAUGCUCCAAUCUAAGUAUAUUUAGACAAAAGUUUGUUUGAGUCAAGUAAAAGAGAGAUGUUUUAAAUUGUUUUUGAUUGAUUAUUCCACCAAUCCCUUCAAAUCCCCCAAAAUGGGAGAAUGAAAAUUCUACCAAUAUUCAAGUAAAGUGUACUUUUAACUUGAAUGUUUUAGCCUUAAGUAUCAUACAAUACUUUUAAAGGUAAUAUUCAUUUUGGCAUAAAGAUAUUGUAAAUAGUAAUUUGAAAAAAUAUUCGUUCAAGAUUUAAUGGUUCGAACUAGCGAUGAUUAAAUCAUAUAUAUUAAAUAACAUAUAUAAAUUUAUGGCAACAAAAAUAAAAAAGUCAAAAUAUGUGUUGUUCCAAGCAAAACAUAAAUUUUGAAAGAUUAAUAAAGUCAGGGGAAUUUUAUUUGGCAUAUUAAUAUUAGUAUUUAACAAAAUAAUAAGCCAGAAUCACUAAUUUGUUUUUUAACUAAGUAUUGGGCUAUGUAAUUUAGUUAACUAUUGGCCCAAGAAAGAAGGUCUUACCUGAGCUCAUAAUUUCUAAAAAGCCCUAAGUUUAAAAUUCAGUAGCCGUCACCAUAAGUUUUUACUCCUUAUUUUAUUUUUGUUCAUUUUUGUGUAACUUUGUGAUGUGGUAAUUUUUACUGGUUUAAUCAAACUCAUGGAUUUGAUUUUUGCUUCGGUAGAAUAUGACUCACCUACUGCAAUAUGCGAAGCAAAGAAGAUGUUUGCAAUGUUGGUCCAUCCAAAGAACAUGGUCGGAUAAACUAAACACCUUGUAGUUUCAGUUAUUUCUAUAAAAUCUGUCGUUUCCCUCCGGCUCAAAUCGCAGAACCAUCGGUUUUUAACGGUUUCAGCUGUUCAGAUCCGGUUUUUUUAAGUUCCGAUUUAGAAGGUCGUUUGGACUUGACAACAUACUGACUCCUGAUUGAACCGGGCCAACCGGCCAGUCUAGUCCGGUUUACAUUCAGUAUUUAUUUUCAAGGAAUUGUGUGUACCGUUUCUAUUUAUUUUCUAAGCAUCACUUUUAUAUACUUCAACACAAUUUUAAUUCUAACAUUAAAACCAAACAAGCACCGUAAGUACCGUUUCAAAUGAAUCCAUAAAUUAAAAACGUAACCAUGGUUUUCAAUGCAAUAUAAUAUAGAAUAAAUGAUUUUUCAAAGCAAAUGUAAAUAUUGUGAUCAGUAAGAGAUUAUACAAGUGGAAUGGCUAAAUAACUUUUAAAACUCAAAAUUCAUUAGUUUAUUUACUUUUUAAACAAAUAAUUAAUAAUAUAAUAAUAAUAAUAAUUAUUAUUAUUAUAUUUUAAAGUAAUAAAAUAUAUUCUCAAUUUUAAAUUUAGAUAUCAUAUUUAGAUUUCAAAUAUAGAAAUAGAUGUGAAUUUCUUCAACAUCACUAAUAAAAUUAUUAAUUAAAAUUUAAAAAUGUAAUUCAGCAAUUAUGAAAGAUUAAUAGUAUAUUUGGAAACGCAGUAUUUACAACUAAAAAUUAGCACAAAUAUCUACUUGAUAGUUAACGAAUUAUUGUUCUUAAAUAAAAGCGAGGACCUAAUUUUAGAUAAUAUGUAUUUUAUUAAAAUCAACAACAAAUCCACAUAUAAUUCAUUAAUGACAUCUUCCAACUUAAUCACCACUUAAUCUAGCCACUUUCUUCUCGAUCCAUUCUUUUUUUAUUUAGAGUCAGUUUUUAGUUUUAAAUUAUUGUUGUGUACUAAUUUCUUUUCUAGUUUUAAAUAACUUUUAUGUAUAUUUAAUAUUUUUUAAAUAAAUAAAUAAAUUUUAUGUAUAUUUAAUAUUUUUUCGUAAUUCAAAUGUCUUGGUGUAAUAUUGUUUUGUUUUUUUUUUUUAUCUUAUUUUAAUAUUUGUUUCAUUUAAAUUUAAUUUAAUAUAGAUUAAUUUAUAUUUUCACCAAUAUUAUAUCUCUAUAAAUAUAAAAUUUCAUAUAUUUUAAUUUUCAUCAUACUUAUAAAUUCUGUAAUAUUUGUAAUCAAACUUUACUUUUAUGUUAAUAAUAUUAAUAUUAUAAUUUUAUUUAUAAAUUAUCGUUUUUAUUUUAGUUUUUAGUGACUUUACAUUCUAUUGAUUUCUAUCCCUGCGUACUGAUUUGAAUAAAUUAAAAUGUUUUUUUAGUAAUGAUAUAUAAAUAUAUAUAUAUAUAUAUAUAUAUAUAUAUUUAAAAUAAAUAAAUGAAGUGACUUUAGUAGUGGGUAUAAAUAAAUGGAAAAAUGGCAUAAAAUGAGACAAAAAUUAUUCAGAAGUGAAGCCAAGAAAAAGAAAAAGAAAAAGCAGCAAGUGCGGGUGACAAGAAGGGAGUAGAGAGAAGAAAAUGGCUGUGAUCACUGCCCACACUUACAAACCCUACCUCUCUCACUCUCCUCCCAAUCUUCGCCAUUCCUCUCCCAUUUCCGUUUCUUCUUCUCCAUUUCCGCUCAAAACAACUAUACCAUGCCUCGCCUCUUCC